RNAcentral lists this ribosomal RNA (2902 nucleotides) under Klebsiella pneumoniae. Its description in RNAcentral is "23S ribosomal RNA". It matches the Rfam family "Bacterial large subunit ribosomal RNA". The record is from RNAcentral. Lineage: Bacteria; Pseudomonadati; Pseudomonadota; Gammaproteobacteria; Enterobacterales; Enterobacteriaceae.
GGUUAAGCGACUAAGCGUACACGGUGGAUGCCCUGGCAGUCAGAGGCGAUGAAGGACGUGCUAAUCUGCGAAAAGCGUCGGUAAGGUGAUAUGAACCGUUACAGCCGGCGAUGUCCGAAUGGGGAAACCCAGUGCAAUUCGUUGCACUAUCGUUAACUGAAUACAUAGGUUAACGAGGCGAACCGGGGGAACUGAAACAUCUAAGUACCCCGAGGAAAAGAAAUCAACCGAGAUUCCCCCAGUAGCGGCGAGCGAACGGGGAGCAGCCCAGAGUCUGAAUCAGCUUGUGUGUUAGUGGAACGGUCUGGAAAGUCCGACGGUACAGGGUGAUAGUCCCGUACACCAAAAUGCACAGGUUGUGAACUCGAAGAGUAGGGCGGGACACGUGGUAUCCUGUCUGAAUAUGGGGGGACCAUCCUCCAAGGCUAAAUACUCCUGACUGACCGAUAGUGAACCAGUACCGUGAGGGAAAGGCGAAAAGAACCCCGGCGAGGGGAGUGAAAAAGAACCUGAAACCGUGUACGUACAAGCAGUGGGAGCACCUUCGGGUGUGACUGCGUACCUUUUGUAUAAUGGGUCAGCGACUUAUAUUCUGUAGCAAGGUUAACCGUAUAGGGGAGCCGCAGGGAAACCGAGUCUUAACUGGGCGUUAAGUUGCAGGGUAUAGACCCGAAACCCGGUGAUCUAGCCAUGGGCAGGUUGAAGGUUGGGUAACACUAACUGGAGGACCGAACCGACUAAUGUUGAAAAAUUAGCGGAUGACUUGUGGCUGGGGGUGAAAGGCCAAUCAAACCGGGAGAUAGCUGGUUCUCCCCGAAAGCUAUUUAGGUAGCGCCUCGUGAACUCAUCUUCGGGGGUAGAGCACUGUUUCGGCUAGGGGGUCAUCCCGACUUACCAACCCGAUGCAAACUACGAAUACCGAAGAAUGUUAUCACGGGAGACACACGGCGGGUGCUAACGUCCGUCGUGAAGAGGGAAACAACCCAGACCGCCAGCUAAGGUCCCAAAGUCAUGGUUAAGUGGGAAACGAUGUGGGAAGGCACAGACAGCCAGGAUGUUGGCUUAGAAGCAGCCAUCAUUUAAAGAAAGCGUAAUAGCUCACUGGUCGAGUCGGCCUGCGCGGAAGAUGUAACGGGGCUAAACCAUGCACCGAAGCUGCGGCAGCGACACUAUGUGUUGUUGGGUAGGGGAGCGUUCUGUAAGCCUGCGAAGGUGACCUGUGAGGGUUGCUGGAGGUAUCAGAAGUGCGAAUGCUGACAUAAGUAACGAUAAAGCGGGUGAAAAGCCCGCUCGCCGGAAGACCAAGGGUUCCUGUCCAACGUUAAUCGGGGCAGGGUGAGUCGACCCCUAAGGCGAGGCCGAAAGGCGUAGUCGAUGGGAAACAGGUUAAUAUUCCUGUACUUGGUGUUACUGCGAAGGGGGGACGGAGAAGGCUAUGUUAGCCGGGCGACGGUUGUCCCGGUUUAAGCAUGUAGGCUGAUUGUCCAGGCAAAUCCGGAUAAUCAAGGCUGAGGUGUGAUGACGAGGUACUACGGUGCUGAAGUAACAAAUGCCCUGCUUCCAGGAAAAGCCUCUAAGCAUCAGGUAACAUCAAAUCGUACCCCAAACCGACACAGGUGGUCAGGUAGAGAAUACCAAGGCGCUUGAGAGAACUCGGGUGAAGGAACUAGGCAAAAUGGUGCCGUAACUUCGGGAGAAGGCACGCUGGUGUGUAGGUGAAGCCCCUGCGGGUGGAGCUGAGACCAGUCGAAGAUACCAGCUGGCUGCAACUGUUUAUUAAAAACACAGCACUGUGCAAACACGAAAGUGGACGUAUACGGUGUGACGCCUGCCCGGUGCCGGAAGGUUAAUUGAUGGGGUUAUCCGUAAGGAGAAGCUCUUGAUCGAAGCCCCGGUAAACGGCGGCCGUAACUAUAACGGUCCUAAGGUAGCGAAAUUCCUUGUCGGGUAAGUUCCGACCUGCACGAAUGGCGUAAUGAUGGCCAGGCUGUCUCCACCCGAGACUCAGUGAAAUUGAACUCGCUGUGAAGAUGCAGUGUACCCGCGGCAAGACGGAAAGACCCCGUGAACCUUUACUAUAGCUUGACACUGAACAUUGAGCCUUGAUGUGUAGGAUAGGUGGGAGGCUUUGAAGCGUGGACGCCAGUCUGCGUGGAGCCAACCUUGAAAUACCACCCUUUAAUGUUUGAUGUUCUAACGUUGGCCCCUGACCGGGGUUGCGGACAGUGUCUGGUGGGUAGUUUGACUGGGGCGGUCUCCUCCCAAAGCGUAACGGAGGAGCACGAAGGUUAGCUAAUCCUGGUCGGACAUCAGGAGGUUAGUGCAAUGGCAUAAGCUAGCUUGACUGCGAGCGUGACGGCGCGAGCAGGUGCGAAAGCAGGUCAUAGUGAUCCGGUGGUUCUGAAUGGAAGGGCCAUCGCUCAACGGAUAAAAGGUACUCCGGGGAUAACAGGCUGAUACCGCCCAAGAGUUCAUAUCGACGGCGGUGUUUGGCACCUCGAUGUCGGCUCAUCACAUCCUGGGGCUGAAGUAGGUCCCAAGGGUAUGGCUGUUCGCCAUUUAAAGUGGUACGCGAGCUGGGUUUAGAACGUCGUGAGACAGUUCGGUCCCUAUCUGCCGUGGGCGCUGGAGAAUUGAGGGGGGCUGCUCCUAGUACGAGAGGACCGGAGUGGACGCAUCACUGGUGUUCGGGUUGUCAUGCCAAUGGCACUGCCCGGUAGCUAAAUGCGGAAGAGAUAAGUGCUGAAAGCAUCUAAGCACGAAACUUGCCCCGAGAUGAGUUCUCCCUGAGACUUUAAGUCUCCUGAAGGAACGUUAAAGACGAUGACGUUGAUAGGCCGGGUGUGUAAGCGCAGCGAUGCGUUGAGCUAACCGGUACUAAUGAACCGUGAGGCUUAACCUU